Long non-coding RNA from Silurus meridionalis, 1782 nucleotides. RefSeq lists it as uncharacterized. The transcript has 2 exons. The record is from RefSeq and is a predicted model, not a curated record. Lineage: Eukaryota; Metazoa; Chordata; Actinopteri; Siluriformes; Siluridae.
UUUUUUACAUUCACAGCAUGCAGCCAAGAUAGGAAUGUUUACAAGCUGCUUGGUUAUACAGCCACACAGCUCAUAUUCAGAGCUUUCUCAUAUAAUCCAUGCAGUGUAAUUAGCAAACAACAUUUUUUUUUUUUUAUUAUUAUAUCUGUGAAAAUUAUUUUAUAUCUUUAAGUAUUAGUCAGACAUUAAUCACGAGAAUAAUACUUGUGACCUCGAACAUUCAGUUCUUGUCUUUAUUUUCUAUUUUUGCAUUCCUAGACUGUUGCCUUUUGGUAUGUGCUGAUCUGCACAUACACCCUAGACAGUUCCACUUUUUGUUUUCUUCUUUUGCGCCGUUCCUCUAUUCGCACCCACACUGACCUCUCUGUCACCUUUUAUCUGUGAUAUAUAUUCAUGUGUGACACAAUAAAGUUUUGGAACUUUUAUCUGAAAGCUGCUUCGUGUGUUUUCAUUCCCCAAGCGCUUGUAGGAGAGCAGAGAUCGAGAGGAAAGGCUGAAUUCGGGGGUAUCCUGUCUAUUAGACAGAAGGUGAUCCUGUCCAGCAGGCAGAUGAUGAGAUAAUUCCUUACAGUUUUUGGGGGCUCGUCCGGGAUAUAAGUAUUCAGCACCAACCCAUCCCAUUCGUGAGGGGGACAUGGUUUUGAUUAAAUCUCUUAAACCUAAGCCAUUGGGUGAAUAUAAGUACGAUGGGCCAGCAGAAACAGUUGUGAUCACACGCACAGGUGAUAUUAACUAAUAUUUUUCCUCAGUGGAUCCAUGCUACCAGAGUCAAGAAAUGUCCCAAUUUUUUAGGAGACAUCUAUCGGUUCCUGUUUCCCUCUAUCACCAUGCACCGCGACUCCUCAGACCUUCUGGGGCUGACUCUUUGGCCAUACUCAACACUGGACGGUGUGUGAGAAGAAACUGCAGGGAACGGAGAAACAGCCUCUCAUCAUGCAAAAAAGAGCACAGCAAGUGACCAGUAUGGCUGUCCAUCUCUCCCUCAUCCUGGUGAUUGACAGCUUUGGGGCAGGGGUUCCCGCCCAGGCUCAUCCACACAACACCUUCUGGCAAUACGCCAACUGGACGGCCCGGCAGUACAAACAAUCAUUUACCCAUCUGCUUUCCGGUUAUCAACCUGUCCCUCGUGUUUCUGAAUAUUAUUCGAUUCCUAUGCGACAUGUUUGUUUUAUAUUAUGUUUAUCCAUUCUUGUUUAUCAUGGAUAAAAGAGGGGAAUUGUGAGAAUUAUUUUAUAUCUUUAAGUAUUAGUCAGACAUUAAUCACGAGAAUAAUACUUGUUACCUCGAACAUUCAGUUCUUGUCUUUAUUUUCUAUUUUUGCAUACCUAGACUGUUGCCUUUUGGUAUGUGCUGAUCUGCACAUACACCCUAGACAGUUCCUCUUUCUGUUUUCUUCUUUUGCGCCGUUCCUCUAUUCGCACCCACACUGACCUCUAUGAAAUGCUGCCUUGUGUGUUUUCAUUCUCCAAGCGCUUGUAGGAGAGCAGAGAUCGAGAGGAAAGGCUGAAUUUGGGGGUAUCCUGUCUAUACGACAGAAGGUGAUCCUGUCCAGCGGGCAGAUGAUGAGAUAAUUCCUUACAAUAUCUCAUACUUAUUUUAUUACGAUACAGUGCAAAACCUCGAUACUCGCAGGGGUUUUGAGGUUUUACCCCUUAACUUUGAUGGUUCCUUUUUCAAGGGGAAUUAUACAUGUACUGUACUGUUUUGUGAAUUAUUUGUCAUAAAUGUGUUUUUUUUCCCACUUUAAAUAAAUAAUACAAUAAUAAAAUAGCUUUUCAAACA